GGCGGCAGGCCUAACACAUGCAAGUCGAGCGGUAGAGAGAACUUGCUUCUCUUGAGAGCGGCGGACGGGUGAGUAAUGCCUAGGAAUCUGCCUGGUAGUGGGGGAUAACGUUCGGAAACGGACGCUAAUACCGCAUACGUCCUACGGGAGAAAGCAGGGGACCUUCGGGCCUUGCGCUAUCAGAUGAGCCUAGGUCGGAUUAGCUAGUUGGUGGGGUAAUGGCUCACCAAGGCGACGAUCCGUAACUGGUCUGAGAGGAUGAUCAGUCACACUGGAACUGAGACACGGUCCAGACUCCUACGGGAGGCAGCAGUGGGGAAUAUUGGACAAUGGGCGAAAGCCUGAUCCAGCCAUGCCGCGUGUGUGAAGAAGGUCUUCGGAUUGUAAAGCACUUUAAGUUGGGAGGAAGGGCAGUAAAUUAAUACUUUGCUGUUUUGACGUUACCGACAGAAUAAGCACCGGCUAACUCUGUGC
This 474-nucleotide ribosomal RNA is filed under the name Pseudomonas sp. 1S2.A7. RNAcentral describes it as "bacterial SSU rRNA". It matches the Rfam family "Bacterial small subunit ribosomal RNA", at positions 38 to 508 of the family's 1533-position model. The record is from RNAcentral. Lineage: Bacteria; Pseudomonadati; Pseudomonadota; Gammaproteobacteria; Pseudomonadales; Pseudomonadaceae.